UGGGGAAUCUUGCACAAUGGGGGAAACCCUGAUGCAGCGACGCCGCGUGAACGAUGAAGCCCUUCGGGGUGUAAAGUUCUUUCGACAGGAACGAUAAUGACGGUACCUGGAGAAGAAGCUGCGGCUAACUACGUGCCAGCAGCCGCGGUAAUACGUAGGCAGCGAGCGUUGUUCGGAGUUACUGGGCGUAAAGAGUGCGUAGGCGGCGAGCCAAGUUUGGUGUGAAAUCUCCCGGCUUAACCGGGAGGGUGCGCCGAAAACUGGUUGUCUGGAGUAUGGGAGAGGAAAGCGGAAUUCCUGUUGUAGCGGUGAAAUGCGUAGAUAUCAGGAGGAACACCUGCGGUGUAGACAGCUUUCUGGACCAAAACUGACGCUGAGGCACGAAAGCGUGGGUAGCAAACA
Molecule: ribosomal RNA, 402 nt
Filed under: uncultured bacterium
Lineage: Bacteria
Description: bacterial SSU rRNA
Rfam family: Bacterial small subunit ribosomal RNA
Source: RNAcentral